UCUCUGGUAGUAUAUCGGUUAGUACACGCGCCUGUCAUAUCAGACCUGAGUCUAUUGUCGCGCGAAAGCUGGGUUCGACUCCCAGCCAGAGAG
Non-coding RNA from Desarmillaria tabescens, 93 nucleotides. The record is from the annotation of a RefSeq genome assembly. NCBI's taxonomy places the organism in Eukaryota, Fungi, Basidiomycota, Agaricomycetes, Agaricales, Physalacriaceae.